GUGCUUUGGCACAAAUGUUAAAAAUGGAAAAAUACAGAGAAGAUUAGCAUGGCCCCUGCGCAAGGAUGACGCACAAAUCGAGGCACGCGGUCACCGAUGCA
This 101-nucleotide small nuclear RNA is filed under the name Volvox carteri f. nagariensis. Lineage: Eukaryota; Viridiplantae; Chlorophyta; Chlorophyceae; Chlamydomonadales; Volvocaceae. The record is from RNAcentral.